This 842-nucleotide ribosomal RNA is filed under the name uncultured eukaryote. RNAcentral's name for it is "SSU rRNA". It matches the Rfam family "Eukaryotic small subunit ribosomal RNA", at positions 635 to 1426 of the family's 1831-position model. The record is from RNAcentral.
CGGUGUUCAACUGGCGUGCCCGCGGGACGUCCUGCCGGUGAGCUCAGCCCGCGAGGGCGGCUCAACUUGAAAUCCCAUCGCGGUGCUCUUCAUUGAGUGUCGAGGUGGGCCGGCACGAUUACUUUUGAACAAAUUAGAGUGCUUAAAGCAGGCUAAAAUUUUGCCUGAAUACUGUGUAUAUGGAAUAAUGGAAUAGGACCUCGGUUCUAUUUUGUUGGUUUUCGGAACCCCGAGGUAAUGAUUAAUAGGAACGGAUGGGGGCAUUCUUAUUGCGACAUUAGAGGUGAAAUUCUUGGAUCGUCGCAAGACGGACUAAAGCGAAAGCAUUUGCCAAAAACGCUUUCAUUGAUCAAGAACAAAAGUUAGAGGUUCGAAGGCGAUCAGAUACCGCCCUAGUUCUAACCAUAAACUAUGCCAGCUAGCGAUCCGCCGACGUCCCUCUGAUGACUCGGCGGGCAGCUUCCGGGAAAACAAAGCUUUUGGGUUCCGGGGGGAAGUAUGGGUUGCAAAGCUUAAACUUAAAGGAAUUGACGGAGGGGCACCACCAGGAGUGGAGCCUGCGGCUUAAUUUGACUCAACACGGGAAACCCUCACCAGGCCCAGACACUGGAAGGAUUGACAGAUUGAGAGCUCUUUCUUGAUUCAGUGGGUGGUGGUGCAUGGCCGUUUUUUGUCGGUGGAGCGAUUUGUCAGGUUAAUUCCGAUAACGGACGAGACUCUGACCUGAUAACUAGACGCACUUGCGGCAUCUCAAAGGUCCGCCGGCGGCUGGCUUUGCGCCCGUCGUCGCGCGCGAUUUUUACUGCCGGCGUACAAUAAAUUCUUCUUAGAGGGACAAGUGG